UAUUUUUACUUAUCCGAAUCGAAUCUGAACCUUGAACAAACUCCUGAAAAAUACAUUUAGAUUUAGGCUAAAUUACACAACACCCUCCUGUCAAUAUUCGCUUUUUCACGUUUUCUCCUGUCAUUAAAAAUCUACACUUUCUCCCCUUAAAAAAUAAAAAAUAUUCACAGAGGAGUACGAUGUGACGAAAUGACCAAAUUAUCCUCAUCUUCUUCAUCUCCUCCUCAAUCUUGCUCAUCCCAGCAGCGGAGGAGGGCGAGAGCGUGUAUCUAGGCAUGAACAGAAAGGUGGGUGAGGGCAAGGCGGCGAAGGGCGAGGCAGCGACCGAGGGCAUAUGUUGGCAUGGAUGAGAGUUUCAGGAUAUUUUGCAUAUAAAAAAUAAGAUAUAAACGAAACUCUAACAUAACACUGACGGCAGGGACUGAAUUGAACAUUUUUUAUUUUUUAAGGAAGCAAAGCGUAGAUUUUUGAAUGAUGGGGUAAGUAAAAAAGCGGGUAUUGAUAGGAGGGUUUUGUCACGUUCCGGAUUACUCAUUUCUCCGGGUUCGCUAACAGACCUGCCGUAUACGAAGCGAAAAAGUAGAAAUACCUGUAAUCAUACAAUACUACAGACAGUAGUAUAGAGCAGUUAGGAAAAUAAACCAUAUAAAAAAUGCGGUUCGAUACAUACAUGUCAUCCAGGUAUACGAACACUUG
This 696-nucleotide long non-coding RNA is filed under the name Ananas comosus (pineapple). RNAcentral's name for it is "long non-coding RNA (ACOM_LNC034854)". Lineage: Eukaryota; Viridiplantae; Streptophyta; Magnoliopsida; Poales; Bromeliaceae. The record is from RNAcentral.